GCGGAGGCUUGGACGGGAGCGUGCUUUAGGGCAUGAGGAAAGUCCGGGCUUCAAAGAGACAAGAUGCCAGCUAACGGCUGGGCGGGGUAACCCGACGGAAAGUGUCGCAGAAAAGAAAACUCCCGCGGCUCGCCGCGAGAAAAGCUGAAACGGUGUGGUAAGAGCGCACCAGCACCCCGGUAACGGGAUGGCUUGAUAAACCCCAUCUGAAGCAAGCGCUAAUAGGAAUGCACACGGGGCGUCUCUUCCUCGCAUUCGGGUUGCGUGCUAGAGGUGUGCGGUGACGCACAUUCGAGAUAAAUGACCGUCGCUCUGCUAUUUUUAGCAGUUCACAGAACCCGGCUUACAUGGCCUCCGCCAAA
RNAcentral lists this RNase P RNA (362 nucleotides) under Phoenicibacter congonensis. Its description in RNAcentral is "Bacterial RNase P class A". It matches the Rfam family "Bacterial RNase P class A". Rfam says of the family: Ribonuclease P (RNase P) is a ubiquitous endoribonuclease, found in archaea, bacteria and eukarya as well as chloroplasts and mitochondria. Its best characterised activity is the generation of mature 5'-ends of tRNAs by cleaving the 5'-leader elements of precursor-tRNAs. Lineage: Bacteria; Bacillati; Actinomycetota; Coriobacteriia; Eggerthellales; Eggerthellaceae. The record is from Rfam by way of RNAcentral.